Molecule: ribosomal RNA, 459 nt
Filed under: uncultured bacterium
Lineage: Bacteria
Description: partial 16S ribosomal RNA
Rfam family: Bacterial small subunit ribosomal RNA
Source: RNAcentral
CCUACGGGAGGCAGCAGUGAGGAAUAUUGGUCAAUGGCCGAGAGGCUGAACCAGCCAAGUCGCGUGAGGGAAGACGGCCCUACGGGUUGUAAACCUCUUUUGUCGGGGAACAACGCGCACCACGUGUGGUUCAUUUCGCGUACCCUAAGAAAAAGCGUCGGCUAACUCCGUGCCAGCAGCCGCGGUAAUACGGAGGAGGCGAGCGUUAUCCGGAUUUAUUGGGUUUAAAGGGUGCGCAGGCGGGGGUGCAAGUCAGCGGUCAAAUCGCGGGGCUCAACCCCGUACUGCCGUUGAAACUGCAUCCUUUGAGUGCGCGAGAGGUAGGCGGAAUGCGUGGUGUAGCGGUGAAAUGCAUAGAGAUCACGAGGAACUCCGAUUGCGAAGGCAGCAGGCCGGCGCGCAACUGACGCUCAUGCACGAAAGCGUGGGUAUCGAACAGGAUUAGAUACCCGAGUAGUC